UGCUGUGUGGCCCUUGUUCCUUGGCUCUUUUAAUAUCUUUGCCUUCUCCCGUUGCCCUCCAGGUCUAGGAAUGGAAGUGUUUUGCUGAUGUAGCUAAUGUUGGGGUUGUUUUCUCUGGAAGCAGGAACUGAGAGUGAAUUUGGAUUAUCGUGAUCAAUAUGGAAGUAAAAUCUACAAGUUCAAAUGAGACUUAGAGUUAUUCUCUGAAGAUUUAGCAACAAAGACUGCCAAGUGUUUAAUCAAAAGAUUGCAUUUUCUCACGAUAAAAAUGGAUAGUUGUGGCUUGGAAAAUGGGAAACUGGACCAACUAUGAACUAGAGCAAAGUUGAAGACAACUCUAAAUGUUUCGAGAGUAUUUUUGGUAAUUCCCUGAGCUUUCCUGACAAUUGGUCCUUCUACCCUCACUGCAUCCUGUGGGAUAAUGUUACAUACCCGAAGUCCGGGAGGCAGCACGGUGCAACUUCAGGGGUAGUAGCAGUUUUCCUUUUUUGUUUUUUUUUCAAUUAAACGGUUUUUCCGAGAAAACCUAAUUAUUUAAUAGUGUUGUAGCUCUGAAGUUGUGAGUUGAUUCGAGAUAUUUGGAGUUCUGGUUCUGUGAGGCUUAGCUACAUGUGGCUAUUGGAUCACAUAUCCGCUCCCCUGCCAUGUAAGAUGAAAACACGUUGGAAUAUAACUAUUGGUUGGCUUUGUGGUGUUGGGUGAGUGUGCCAGUCUGAGGUUAGAGAAGAGAUGGGAUCCCAAGCCCUGGGCUUUGUAUUAUAUAGUAUUGUAUUUUGAUGUUGUACUUAAGGGUCAAUUACUGUUUCCAUUAUAAACCUUGUUUUUCAAGGGUUUAUAACUCACCAAUUUUCAUUUUGGUAUGCAAGCUGCAUGAAUAUACAGGUUUUAAAAAUAGCUU
This is a long non-coding RNA of Equus caballus (horse), 898 nucleotides long. RefSeq lists it as uncharacterized. Lineage: Eukaryota; Metazoa; Chordata; Mammalia; Perissodactyla; Equidae. The record is from RefSeq and is a predicted model, not a curated record.